Long non-coding RNA from Lates calcarifer (barramundi perch), 2431 nucleotides. RefSeq lists it as uncharacterized. Lineage: Eukaryota; Metazoa; Chordata; Actinopteri; Centropomidae. The transcript is spliced from 3 exons. The record is from RefSeq and is a predicted model, not a curated record.
AUUAAAUGAGCCGACAGGGCAGCCACGUCCACCUACAGGGGUUUAAUCCCUGCUGUGUGAUGAUGGUGACAGUGCCGAUACAGGAAGGAGGCAUGAAGAGGACAAACCCACUUUGUUUUCCAGGAGCAGUAACCUUUGCUUCAACGUUUCUCAUGGUAAAACACGGCAGGACGGAGCUGUAACACCUGCAUCUCCAGGCCCAUUUCACCAAAUGUACAACAUGCCAGCUUCACUUUGCAACAUGAGAUCAUUCCUCUCGUUCGUCAAAACAAACGUCAGCCGCUCGUCUGAGAACCUUGAAUCUGCAAACCCUGAGCUGUUAAUGCUGGUGUUCAGCUCAGACCUGUGCUGUAUUGGAAGCUGUAAAGCGGCUGUAAAGUAUGAAAGGCCUCACCAUCCUUAUUCUGACAUUAACUGCUGUUAAAUGCUGGAGAAACAUCCUCUGUAGUUAUUGAGCUGUUUGUCCUGACAGUGGAGUAACACUGACAUUUAACACAAACUGACAACAAGAGACCUGAUGGAUGAACUCGUCACAAUCUGUUUCAACAACAGCAUCGCUCUUUAUUCAUCAGCUUUAAUCAGCUCAAGUGUUCACACAUCCACAUCCACAGGCUGUCGGCUGAUUUGACCUCACUCUCUCUGGUUUGUGUUAUAUUUUUAUGUCCUCAGCAGUGACGCUGGGUGUUAUCAGUCUACAACAAAGACAGGUGGUGAAUAUCAAUCUUACCUCCUCCGAUCUCUCCAUUACAGUAAUAUAAAUAUGGGUCUGUUGUUUCCUUCAUAUCAACCUCCCCUCCAUCUGUCCAUAAUCAUUAUAGUCUCAUUAUAGUCCUCCACUUAAAAUCGUGGUUCUUUUGAUUGAUAAUGACAUAAACCUUUGUGUUGUUAAUGCACUUAUCCUAAAUCAUUUCUUCUUUCCUUUGCCUCAGGGUAUAAAGUAGUAUCUGUGCUCUGUGCAUUGCUGUUCCACUGUUUGACUGACUGACAGAGUUUAAUGACGUUGUGAUGGAGCGUGGGAUCAUGGGAGUUGUUGUGUUCAGAUUCCUUCAGUGUUGCUGGCUCCAGGAGCUGAAUCCUCCUCAGAGGUCUCCUCCUCUCCACAACAAACAGAGCAGCUGAUUCAAACCAGGAAAACUCUGAAUAAAACAGCUUCAUGUUAAAGAUCAGUGUUUCUCUGAUGACGUUAGCUCAGCUUGUUUCUAACUUCCGAUCCAGACGUCUGAAGUCUGAAGACUAAUGUUAAAAACAACCAAGUGCAUCUUAACAACCACAGCGCUGAUGCAACGAAACAGACUGUUACCCUGAUUAAAAUGACAGAUUUCACCAGGUUUGAAAAUCACUGAACACUUGGGGAUAAUCAGCAUCAUGAACGGUGCUGGUCAGACUGUGACAUUUACAGUAGAUAUCAGGUUGCUUUGUUGAGGUGGAGAGAUGAAAGUCCCCUUCAGGAUGACGCUGAUUAUCUCAUAACAGCAGCUCAGGUCAAAGCGUGGGAUUCGUUAGACGGUCAGUGAACAGUCGGUUGUCGUAUCAUCGUGUUGGAUGUUGGGACCUGUGUGUAGGUGUUGACAUGUGACCAGACGAGUGUGUUGAAGCAUCUCUGAAGUGACAGGGCUCGAGGGGUGCUCCUGCUCAGCAGGGACAAACCACGUACCGGUGAUAGGGCAUUAGGUGAUCUCGUCCAUGUUGACACAGGACUUAAAGGUUCUGCUGCUUGGGGUCAGGUACCACAGGGACCUCCAGAGGUCUUGAGUGGUUUGGCUGCACACUGAGGACAUGAGGCAGGUGUUCUGGUUCUAGUGUUUUGGUUCUUCAGGGUACGUCCUCUGAGGAUGCCAUGAGGAAACCAGUCCAACCACAGCAGCCAUUAGCCUCACUGUCUGUAUUAGAUCUAUGAGAGAGUGUUAGACAGAGUGGAACAUUAGGCAUCUCGACCAGGAGGAUAAACAGAGAGGAAAAUCAAAAGGAAACAUGGAAUAACCCUGACACACAGAGUGAGAUCAGUGCUGCAUCAGUGAGUGACACUGCACACUAUGCAUCAGUCCUCAUACUGUGUGCUGACUCUGUCUCUUGACCUUUGUUGAAUGUCAUAGCGUCUCUGUCUCUGACUGUGAGCUGGCUGCUAAUACACACAGACAAUAUCAAACUAUUCAAUGAAGGUUUAAAACCUAUUUCCAGUGUCUUUGUCCUCUAAUACGACCACAUGAUUUCAACAAUGAGGCAGGGACUUGGUUUAGACCAGUAGUUCACCUUUCACCUCCUAAAACGGCUCAUUGUCUGAGCUGAAUGUCACUAGAUUACUGUAUCACAUUAAUGUAACAAAAAUGAGCAGCACAAGUUUAAAAGUGACCACAGCUCAUAAAGACCACUUAAUGAAGAAAUGCCAACAGAAGGUUGGAUCUGUUAGCACAUUCAAAUGAGCUGAACACGU